Molecule: long non-coding RNA, 893 nt
Filed under: Marmota monax (woodchuck)
Lineage: Eukaryota; Metazoa; Chordata; Mammalia; Rodentia; Sciuridae
Source: RNAcentral
CAUGGACUCUUUUCUUGGUCAUGGAAGGUUUUUUAAAAAUCAAUAUUUACUGUGGAUUCUAAGAAUGUUCACUUGGGGUGUGUCUCCAUGUAAUAAAAGCAUCUAGGCAGAAAAAUGUAGGCAACACUAUUGGUUAGUAUUUAUGUUUUCAAAGAGGUUGUUGGGAUUUUUUUUUAGUAAUAUCUAUUAUUUGCUAUUGGUUGAGGGAAAGUCCCAGAUAGUCUAGUUUCAGCUAUAAAUGUUAUUAAAUAUUUUUCUUACCAGUUUUCUGACUUUUUUUUGGUUAUUUUUGUUGUUUUUCUAUUUCCAUCUUAUAUACUCCCUUGGCAGGCAGUGUUCCCUUGAGGGUCCUCGAAGAUAAACUUGUUGUGUGAAAGCAAACAAAAACAUCUAACAACAACAACAACAAAAUGGUGCAUCCAAAUCACAUAUUUUGCAAUUAAUUAUUCUAUAAAAAUGAAAAUGAUUGAUGCAGUCCCUCUUCUUUGAAUGUUACAACAUUGGUUUUUGAGAUGAUCAUACCUUGAGUCUUGAAUUCUGUUCCCAUCCCCAAACACAUUAUUAAAUGAAGGGAAGAUAAAUUCAAAAGGUAAAGUAAGUAAAAUGUGGAUUAAAGAAUCUACCAGGAAGGAGAUCAUUAAAGCAAUAUUCAUCAAGAAUAAUUUUAAAUAUAUCAGUCUACAGCUUUCAGAGAAAAUAUAAAAUGUUUAAAAUAGAGGUAACACAAAAAUAAAAAUUAUAACUAAUUAUAGAAUUUUUAUUACCAAUACCUAUCCCUUAAUCUGAUCUCAUUUCCUAAUACUCUUCUUUCUACACUUGCUACCUAGUAAUGCCUACAAUAAAUGCUAAACGUGGUUUCAAACAUGCCACUUUGUCCACUCAAUAACUCUUUG